UCUGCGUAAAAGGGUUAGAAACAAAACGAGGAAAAGGGGGAAAGCAGCAAAAGCUGCGUUAAAGAGAAACAGAGCUUUGAGCCUACAAAAACAAAAGAACACGGACCAAGCUCGGCAGAAGCAAAACGGACAGAGGCGAUCAAAAGCAACACUAAAGUGAGUUUACUUUGUUCUAGCAAAGGGAUUUACAGAGAAGGGGAACAAGAGACAACAAUUGACGCGGGCGAGGGUUUUGUUAAUUAGAGAGCACAGGUUGAUAGCUCUUGGUGAGCCUCGCACUUGUUCGCGUGGGCGGAAAUUUUAUCAAUUGUUAUGGUCUUUUCUUUGAACUCUUAAAGUCGCUCCAUGGUCAUUCUUUUAGUGUCUUGAGUAUUCUUUGUUAUUAUAUACUUAUGUUGAGUAUCGCUCAUUCUUAUUAAAUUUGGAGAUAAAGUCAUAUUUUUAGUUGUUAGUGGAUGGACUAUUAAAGGUAGAUAUUUAUUUUGGUUAA
Nicotiana tabacum (common tobacco) is the source of this 490-nucleotide long non-coding RNA. RefSeq lists it as uncharacterized. NCBI's taxonomy places the organism in Eukaryota, Viridiplantae, Streptophyta, Magnoliopsida, Solanales, Solanaceae. The record is from RefSeq and is a predicted model, not a curated record.